GUCCACGCCUAACGAUGAUGACUAGUUGUUGGAGGAGUUAAAUCCUUAGUAACGCAGCUAACGCGAGAAGUCAUCCGCCUGGGGAGUACGGUCGCAAGAUUAAACUCAAGGAAUUGACGGGCCCGGCACAAGCGGUGGAUGAUGUGGUUUAAUUCGACGCAACGCGAAACCUUAACCUACCCUUGACAUGUACGGAACCUCAUAGAGAUGUGAGGGUGCCCGAAAGGGAGCCGUAACACAGGUGCUGCAUGGCUGUCGU
RNAcentral lists this ribosomal RNA (259 nucleotides) under uncultured bacterium. RNAcentral describes it as "partial 16S ribosomal RNA". It matches the Rfam family "Bacterial small subunit ribosomal RNA", at positions 793 to 1055 of the family's 1533-position model. The record is from RNAcentral.